RNAcentral lists this ribosomal RNA (427 nucleotides) under uncultured bacterium. RNAcentral describes it as "bacterial SSU rRNA". It matches the Rfam family "Bacterial small subunit ribosomal RNA", at positions 29 to 447 of the family's 1533-position model. The record is from RNAcentral.
AAUGAACGCUGGCGGCGCGCCUAAUACAUGCAAGUCGAGCGAGAAGACGUAGCAAUACGUUUGUAAAGCGGCGAACGGGUGAGGAAUACAUGGGUAACCUACCCUAGAGUGGGGAAUAACUAGCCGAAAGGUUAGCUAAUACCGCGUACGCUCCUUGGACUUCGGUUCAGGGAGGAAAGCGAUGCCGAGGGUAUCGCGCUCUUGGAUGGGCUCAUGUCCUAUCAGCUUGUUGGUGAGGUGACGGCUCACCAAGGCUUCGACGGGUAGCUGGUCUGAGAGGAUGGCCAGCCACAUUGGGACUGAGACACGGCCCAGACUCCUACGGAGGCAGCAGUGGGGAAUAUUGCGCAAUGGACGAAAGUCUGACGCAGCGACGCCGCGUGUGGGAUGACGGUCUUCGGAUUGUAAACCACUGUCGGGAGGGACG